This 498-nucleotide long non-coding RNA is filed under the name Rattus norvegicus (Norway rat). Its description in RNAcentral is "long non-coding RNA NONRATT000662". The record is from RNAcentral. Lineage: Eukaryota; Metazoa; Chordata; Mammalia; Rodentia; Muridae.
ACCAGAAAGGCAGGGAGAGAAGUCAGCCCAGAUGAGGGACAACAGGUCAUGGGAUGUCGAGGCCAGGCAGCACCCUACACCAGGCAGACCAGGCUCCCCUCCCCCUUGGGCCAGGCUGUGCCAGCACCAGGACAAUGCACCCUUGUCUCCUGUCCUGACAGCUGGGGGCUCCUGCCUCCGCCUCCUUCAGAGGGGCCAGUGGCUCUCAGCAGGAGAGUGACCCUGGGGACCAGGCCUAGGGCAUCUACUACAUCCAGCCUCCUGUCCUUGCCUGAGCCCAGGACCCUUUCAUUAUUCUGGUCACCCUGGUGUUCGGCCAUCCUCUCUGUGCCUUGCCUCUACACUUCCUGUCCUAGCUCUGCUGUGCCUCCACUAUGUCCUUUCUCCCCUUCCGAUUUGCAUGGCCCCUCCCCACUAGAAAUCUUAUGAGCACCUACUGUGUACGGGGGUCCCAGACUCCAGACUCCUUUCCCUCUUGUCCCUGCUCCCACACACCCC